RNAcentral lists this ribosomal RNA (127 nucleotides) under Lachnospiraceae bacterium. Its description in RNAcentral is "partial 23S ribosomal RNA". It matches the Rfam family "Bacterial large subunit ribosomal RNA", at positions 2786 to 2925 of the family's 2925-position model. The record is from RNAcentral. Lineage: Bacteria; Bacillati; Bacillota; Clostridia; Lachnospirales; Lachnospiraceae.
CGUGAAGCCCCCCUCAAGAUGAGAUAUCUUAAGACCCCUCAGAGAGAAUGAGGUAGAUAGGACAGAGGUGGAAGUACAGUAAUGUAUGGAGCUGACUGUUACUAAUCGGUCGCAGGCUUAUCCAAAA